Molecule: long non-coding RNA, 612 nt
Organism: Dendrobium catenatum
Lineage: Eukaryota; Viridiplantae; Streptophyta; Magnoliopsida; Asparagales; Orchidaceae
Exons: 2
Source: RefSeq, a predicted model, not a curated record
UAUUCACAAGGGUCGUCCUCUCUCUCGAUCUCUUGCGUGUUCGCAUAAGUCAAGAGAAGAACCGAAGCCCUCUCCCCCCAUUGGCACGCUGCAGACGUCUGAACUCCCUUCCCUCUCUGUCUCUCUGCGUUUGCACAAGCCAGGGGCGGAACCCCUCCCUCCUUUCUCCUCUGUUCGGACCGAACUAGGAGGCGAACACCCCCCUCUCUCACGAUCUCUCCCUCGGUGCUCGCGAGCAACAGCCAGGCCGAACCUCCUUCAACGACUUUGCUCCCGUCUCCCCUUGGUUUGGACAAGACCCGACGCCGAGUCCUUCCUCUCUUCGUCAAUCCCUCUGUUUGCACAAGCAGGAGGAAGCCGAAGUCCUUCCGCCUCGCCGUUCUAGCGACUCAACCGAACCUACACCUAGCUCUACUCUUCGUUGCAGGUGGAGGAAACAAAGAGAUGCUGCAGCAAUGGCACCAAUCAAUGGCGAUAUCACAUAGAUCCAAAGCUUGGUAUAAUUAUUAGUAGCGAUUGCUGGUCCAAUGCUCCUUGCUGGAUUCAUGGAAGCUCCUGUUACUCUCCUGUAUUUUGAGAUACAAAUUGUGAUUAGUAAAGGGUUUUCAUGGC